Non-coding RNA from Peptoniphilus lacrimalis DNF00528, 98 nucleotides. The record is from Rfam. Lineage: Bacteria; Bacillati; Bacillota; Tissierellia; Tissierellales; Peptoniphilaceae.
UGUGCUAUACUAACAAAGUUGACUUGUUCAACCCUUGGUGCUUAACUUCUUUCACCAAGCAUAUUAAACGCGGUGGAGCCGCUAAAGGAGAAAACAUG